RNAcentral lists this ribosomal RNA (253 nucleotides) under uncultured bacterium. RNAcentral's name for it is "partial 16S ribosomal RNA". It matches the Rfam family "Bacterial small subunit ribosomal RNA", at positions 524 to 776 of the family's 1533-position model. The record is from RNAcentral.
UACAGAGGUCUCAAGCGUUGUUCGGAUUCAUUGGGCGUAAAGGGCGCGUAGGCGGCGGGGUAAGUCGGGUGUGAAAUCUCAGAGCUCAACUCUGAAACUGCACUCGAUACUGCUCUGCUUGAGGACUGGAGAGGAGACUGGAAUUCACGGUGUAGCAGUGAAAUGCGUAGAUAUCAGGAGGAACACCGGUGGCGAAGGCGGGUCUCUGGGCAGUAACUGACGCUGAGGAGCGAAAGCGUGGGGAGCGAACAGG